AACGUAGGAGGCGAGCGUUAUCCGGAUUUACUGGGCGUAAAGGGCGUGUAGGCGGUGCCCUAAGUUGGGCGUGAAAGCCUCUGGCUUAACUGGAGAAAGUCGUCCAAUACUGGGACACUUGAGGGCAGGAGAGGAAGGCGGAAUUCCCGGUGUAGCGGUAAAAUGCGUAGAUAUCGGGAGGAACCCCGGUGGCGAAGGCGGCCUUCUGGCCUGUCCCUGACGCUGAAGCGCGAAAGCAUGGGGAGCAAACGGGAUUAGAUACCCCCGUA
RNAcentral lists this ribosomal RNA (269 nucleotides) under uncultured prokaryote. Its description in RNAcentral is "partial 16S ribosomal RNA". It matches the Rfam family "Bacterial small subunit ribosomal RNA", at positions 524 to 792 of the family's 1533-position model. The record is from RNAcentral.